Long non-coding RNA from Epinephelus fuscoguttatus (brown-marbled grouper), 891 nucleotides. RefSeq lists it as uncharacterized. The record is from RefSeq and is a predicted model, not a curated record. Lineage: Eukaryota; Metazoa; Chordata; Actinopteri; Perciformes; Serranidae. The transcript has 3 exons.
UGACCUUUGGUGCAAAUAGAGGCCGGAUCUCCAAAGCCCGGAGGAAGAUGGCCCUCCAGCGGGUUUUAAGCAUCCCGAAGUCUUACCUGCUACAGGCUGGCGGUAUGGGGUCAUGAGGGUCAUGCUGCAGGCAAGGGUACCCCCCAUCUCCAAGCAGGUAGAAGCCAGCUGGUGGGUACAGAGACUCCUUGUACAUUGGACAUCUUCGGAGGAUAAGGGCAUCAUGGACUGACCCCGUGUUUCCAACGUGGGAGAAUGCGGACGUGGCACCCAUCUAUGGCACCAGCCACACACCGAAAUGCCUCGUGCCCAGCCAGACGUGCAAAGCCUGCUCCCACCUCCUCCAUCUCUUCAGGCUUGGGGAAAUGGAUAACCUUGUGGAGGAUGGCCAUCAUGUCCUCCACUGAAGUGUGGACUACCCUGCCAACCGUGGCCCUCGGCAUGGCAAAUAUGUCUGCUGUAACCCUAUAGGAGGUGCCACAUGCCAGCCAGUAGAGACAGACAGUCACCUCAAUCUCAUGGCUCCAACCAUGUGGCUUUUGCCGAGGCAGCAUCUGGACCAGUAAAUUGAUGGUCUCCCUGGACAGCCUAAAGGCUGGUUUUAGGUCUGCCUCAGAGAAAAAGGUGCAGAGGAUAGGCACAGUGUUGUUUAUCUGUGCAUACCUCAGAGGAGAAUGAUCCUGUAUUAAAAAAGAGAGAUAUAUUUUUAAUGUUAACAAUCAUGAAUUGACAUUUUAAUUAUAUUUAUUUAUUUAUUUAGCUAUUUCAUAGUUUUUAUCUGUUUACUGUGAUCAUGCCUAUUUUACUUAGAUGUAUUUAAAAUUAUAUAAUGUAAAAUUAAUUAAAUAUUGUUCUUUUGUCAGGUUCUCAUUACGCAUUAUCAUUUAUUAU